UAUCAUUAUACAUGAAAAAUCAAUUUCUCCUAGCUACGCGUGAAAAUCCAUACUGUUGGCAGACGAAUUUCCAAUUCCAUACCAUGGUCUCUACAAUUAUUCUACCAGAUAAAUUUUGUUCUCAAAGGUCCAGCAGUUCCUUUCUGACUAAGUCCGGCAAUUAUGUUCACAACAAAUUUCUGAAUUGUUUUUAUUAGAAUGGGUAUAUUAUUAGGGUUUACUACAGGCACUGAUAUACGAUCUCAAGUCUAGCAUCACCAAGAUACUUUUCACAAACUGAGGUAUUGUGACCGACUUAUUUUAAUAAUGUAAUUGGAUCACUAGCUAUUUGAAAGUAGACCUUGGGUAGUUCAAUCAGCACAGAGUGCAGACAUUACAUCUAUAUUAUUUCAUUUCCUGUUCUAAUUUGUAUAUUGUUUUAUCUGUAUGGAAUCAUUUGGCAAUACGUAGAUCUAUAUAAAUGUGCUAAAAUUUGCGCUUAUAUACUUAUAAUUCCUAUUUUUUCCUUCCUUUCAGGUGUUGAUUUUGAUGAGAAACCUCACAAUCAAUUUGGCAAGCCCUCAUUUUUAACCAAUUGUAAGUAUCGAUUUUAUCAUGAGAAACCUCAAAUCAUGUUGUACACAUGAUAUUUUAAUUCAAAAAAAUUCUUAAGCAUGUAGUUUUGGAGGUCUACAAGUCCCGGAAAGGCCUUUGUUGGUAUCUUGCGAGUUUAUAUAUCAAUACAUUCUUUAGGCACUUAGUAUCACUUCUGAGGGAUGAAAAUUACACAAUUUUCUACCUGAGUCCUAUGAGCUUGAGCUCGAAUUACGCAAAUCAUUUGUAGGAAAAGCAAAGAGUCUUGAAAUAGUUUGCAACACUCGAGGUGAUAAAAAAAGACUGUACAAGGUUAGACCAAAGAGGACAAUUAUCACCUUGAAUGUGAUCAAACAGUCGCCUAGAAGUCUCGAGGAAAGUAGACAUGUUUGAUGGUUAACCAAAGGGGCCAUCGUGCAUCAACAUACUCAAGAUACUGACAAAUAUAGUGAUUAGACAAAUACUUUCAUAUUUUAAUAUUCAUCAAAGAAUUUGGGACACAUUUUUUAGGUUGGUAGAUUAUUUUUUAGAAUGAGAUUUUUGACUCCUGUCUGAAUCUGUGGGGAGUCUGGACCUAUAUGAUGCCUCAAGCCUAUAUCUAAUCAUGUCCAAUGAGUCUGAAGCCUUUAUCAAAAUUUGAUGAAGUUUUUAAGUGGUUGGUAACUUGAUAAAACUUCAUUUUGGAACAGGGAAAGGUUCAACCAUCCUACAGUCUUAAUGGCAGAAUGGGAGAUAUGGCAGGAGUUAUUGCAAAGAAUCACGACAGUUAUUAUCUACAAAGUAUAUUGGCUGGAAACAAAUUUGUACUGUGACAUCUUUCCGUUUACAUUCAUUAUAUGACUAGUCGACUACACCAAGCAAUGCUUUUAUGUGAAAAUACUAAUCCCAGUUUCAGAGUGACAAAAUGGCGAGGUCUUAAUAUAUAGAUUCAUCAUACUUGGCACUUAGCAUUCUCAAACCCAGGCUUGCAAGUCUAGAUUGUAUGUAUAGGGGGUGGGGGUGGGGGGUGGGGGGGAUGUUAGGGUUUAGGGUUGGGGGUUAUCCCACAUGUAACAACUGUUUGGUAUUUGGACAUGGCGAUGAAUACCUGUAAUGAUACAUGAUUCUUCGAAAUCUUCUGUACUUCUUUUCUGAAGGCAAAAUUGAUCAGAUCCUAAGGUUCUUGUAAUGGGUAUUUACUGUUUUGAAGGCUUAAGAUAUUGUGGAGAUGGAAUGGCAGCGAAUUGUUGAACCAUGAAAU
RNAcentral lists this long non-coding RNA (1813 nucleotides) under Aquilegia coerulea. Its description in RNAcentral is "long non-coding RNA (ACOE_LNC002375)". Lineage: Eukaryota; Viridiplantae; Streptophyta; Magnoliopsida; Ranunculales; Ranunculaceae. The record is from RNAcentral.